UUUAAUAUUUCAGAACUGCUGGAUGAAAAAAUCAAUUGACAUCUCGUGGCGCUGCAAGUUACAGAAAAAUAAAAUGUAAGAUGAAAAGAAGAAACCCAGACUGAUGUUUCAAGGCUUUACCUAUACCAAAUCAGGAAAUUCACUACUUCUGGGGUAAAAAUAAAUACAUUUUUACAAGCUGAGCCAGCAGCAGAAAUCUGAAUGGUGAAACAACUGGUUUUUGAUCAUGCAGGUCAGACCAAGCUUCUUCCAUCAAAUAAGGUAUCACUCUGGACCUCACUGAAACAUGGUGGUGAAUUUACACAUUGGAAAUGAGACUGAAGGAAGCACUUCACCAUAAAGGGAAAAGUCCUUGUAGACACUGAUAUUCACCCUGGUUAUCUCUGAGAAGAGACCCUGCAAGAGGAAAAUGUUCAAAAUUGGGUAACACCGUACUCAGAGCUUCCUGAGAGUAAGUAAAGAACAAGUACAGAAACACUGCUGCAACAAAGCCUGCAGUUAAAUUUGAGCAAAAUUUCGUAACUCCUGGGUCUUAUCUGUUACAAAUAUUUUGUAACUUUCUUUGGCAAUUCAGUAAACUUAGAAAAAACCCCAAAAGCUUUAAGCUUUCAGGCAGCAAAAUCUCCCUUUGAUUAUUUAUAUUUGAAGAAAGCUCUCUGAAUCUUAAAAAUUGCCUUAUGAUGGCUAGGUCUCAAAAAAACCCCAAAAACAUGUAGGAGGCACAGAGGUGCAAUAGCUUACAUGCCUAAUGUGCUGUCAAGUGAAUACUUUCAAGAACAACCCUUUAGCCAUUUAGAGGGGGAGGAAAUGCUUUAAAGGCAGGCUAAUGGCUGUCAGGCUGUGUGCAAUAUUAGUCAGAAUAUGAAACUGCAGCAGUAGUCACAGUGUUACUUAUCAGCAUGUGAGCAGGGUAACUUCCCCUCAGUAACCUGGGAAGUGAAUUAUGUCCCUUUUCCACCUCCCUGCCCCCACUGCCCCCAGCUCCUAUGGAUGACAACAUGUGUGAGUACAAAAAAAAGCUGCAAUUCAGGUUCAAAAUUCAUUCCAUGUAUCUCACAAGGGGAAAUGCAUUUGAUAAACUAGUACAAAAAGUGUUUGGAUUUUUGUUUAUCCUGGGUUUUUUUUUUCCCUUUUGUCCCCACUGUAGCAGCUU
Corvus hawaiiensis (hawaiian crow) is the source of this 1153-nucleotide long non-coding RNA. RefSeq lists it as uncharacterized. The transcript has 3 exons. NCBI's taxonomy places the organism in Eukaryota, Metazoa, Chordata, Aves, Passeriformes, Corvidae. The record is from RefSeq and is a predicted model, not a curated record.